UAUAAAGGGAGAAGCAGCACCAGUAUUGUGAGAAGCAAUGCCAACUAAUAAAAACUAUCGGCAUCAUAGUGGUUUAUAGAUAUGGCAGGCUAUAUGCUUCGUCUUAUAGUUAUUCUAUUGGGGUUUUCUCACCUUAUCUCCUUGAAUACUGUCCCAAUAGUAAGAACUAGAAGCCUAGUAUCCAAUUCA
Molecule: long non-coding RNA, 189 nt
Organism: Telopea speciosissima
Lineage: Eukaryota; Viridiplantae; Streptophyta; Magnoliopsida; Proteales; Proteaceae
Exons: 3
Source: RefSeq, a predicted model, not a curated record